This 119-nucleotide ribosomal RNA is filed under the name Carassius auratus (goldfish). The record is from RNAcentral. Lineage: Eukaryota; Metazoa; Chordata; Actinopteri; Cypriniformes; Cyprinidae.
GCUUAUGGCCAUACCAGCCUGGCUAUGCCCGAUCUUGUCUGAUCUCGUAAGCUAAGCAGGUUUGGGCCUGGUUAGUGCCUGGAUGGGAGACCGCCUGGGAAUGCCAGGUACUCUAAGCU